Molecule: ribosomal RNA, 460 nt
Filed under: uncultured bacterium
Lineage: Bacteria
Description: partial 16S ribosomal RNA
Rfam family: Bacterial small subunit ribosomal RNA
Source: RNAcentral
CCUACGGGUGGCAGCAGUGAGGAAUAUUGGUCAAUGGGCGGAAGCCUGAACCAGCCAAGUCGCGUGAGGGAUUAAGGCCCUGCGGGUCGUAAACCUCUUUUGCCGGGGAGCAGAGGUCCGGACGUGUCCGGGCCGGGAGAGUACCCGGAGAAAAAGCAUCGGCUAACUCCGUGCCAGCAGCCGCGGUAAUACGGAGGAUGCGAGCGUUAUCCGGAUUUAUUGGGUUUAAGGGGUGCGUAGGCGGGCAUUUAAGCCGGCGGUCAAAUGUCGGGGCUCAACCCCGGCCUGCCGUCGGAACUGGGUGCCUUGAGUAUGUUUGAGGCAGGCGGAAUGCGUGGUGUAGCGGUGAAAUGCUUAGAUAUCACGCAGAACCCCGAUUGCGAAGGCAGCCUGCCAAGCCAUGACUGACGCUGAUGCACGAAAGCGUGGGGAUCAAACAGGAUUAGAUACCCCAGUAGUC